This 336-nucleotide ribosomal RNA is filed under the name Pseudofrankia asymbiotica. RNAcentral describes it as "bacterial SSU rRNA". It matches the Rfam family "Bacterial small subunit ribosomal RNA", at positions 1 to 354 of the family's 1533-position model. Lineage: Bacteria; Bacillati; Actinomycetota; Actinomycetes; Frankiales; Frankiaceae. The record is from RNAcentral.
UGGAGAGUUUGAUCCUGGCUCAGGACGAACGCUGGCGGCGUGCUUAACACAUGYAAGUCGAGCGGACCUUCGGGUCAGCGGCGAACGGGUGAGUAACACGUGGGCAACCUGCCCCAGGCUCUGGAAUAACUCCGGGAAACCGGGGCUAAUGCCGGAUAUUCACAGUACCGGGCAUCUGGUGGUGUGGAAAGAUUUAUUGGCUUGGGAUGGGCCCGCGGCCUAUCAGCUUGUUGGUGGGGUAAUGGCCUACCAAGGCGACGACGGGUAGCCGGCCUGAGAGGGCGAUCGGCCACACUGGGACUGAGACACGGCCCAGACUCCUACGGGAGGCAGCAG